RNAcentral lists this ribosomal RNA (890 nucleotides) under Verruciconidia persicina. RNAcentral describes it as "LSU rRNA". It matches the Rfam family "Eukaryotic large subunit ribosomal RNA", at positions 38 to 965 of the family's 3401-position model. Lineage: Eukaryota; Fungi; Ascomycota; Sordariomycetes; Hypocreales; Bionectriaceae. The record is from RNAcentral.
GCAUAUCAAUAUGCGGAGGAAAAGAAACCAACAGGGAUUGCCUCAGUAACGGCGAGUGAAGCGGCAACAGCUCAAAUUUGAAAUCUGGCCCUAGGCCCGAGUUGUAAUUUGCAGAGGAUGUUUCUGGCGAGGUGCCUUCCGAGUUCCCUGGAACGGGACGCCAUAGAGGGUGAGAGCCCCGUACGGUUGGUCGCUAAGCCUCUGUGAAACUCCUUCGACGAGUCGAGUAGUUUGGGAAUGCUGCUCUAAAUGGGAGGUAUACGUCUUCUAAAGCUAAAUACCGGCCAGAGACCGAUAGCGCACAAGUAGAGUGAUCGAAAGAUGAAAAGCACUUUGAAAAGAGGGUUAAAUAGUACGUGAAAUUGUUGAAAGGGAAGCGCUUAUGACCAGACUUGGACCGGUUGAUCAUCCAUCGUUCUCGGUGGUGCACUCUGCCGGUUCAGGCCAGCAUCAGUUCGUCCCGGGGGAUAAAGGCUUUGGGAAUGUGGCUCUUCGGAGUGUUAUAGCCCACUGCGUAAUACCCUGGGAUGGACUGAGGUUCGCGCUCCGCAAGGAUGCUGGCGUAAUGGUCAUCAGUGACCCGUCUUGAAACACGGACCAAGGAGUCGUCUUCGUAUGCGAGUGUUCGGGUGUCAAACCCCUACGCGUAAUGAAAGUGAACGUAGGAGAGAGCUUCGGCGCAUCUCCGACCGAUCCUGAUGUUCUCGGAUGGAUUUGAGUAAGAGCAUACGGGGCCGGACCCGAAAGAAGGUGAACUAUGCUUGUAUAGGGUGAAGCCAGAGGAAACUCUGGUGGAGGCUCGCAGCGGUUCUGACGUGCAAAUCGAUCGUCAAAUAUGAGCAUGGGGGCGAAAGACUAAUCGAACCUUCUAGUAGCUGGCUUCCGCCGAA